RNAcentral lists this ribosomal RNA (1823 nucleotides) under soil metagenome. RNAcentral's name for it is "bacterial LSU rRNA". It matches the Rfam family "Bacterial large subunit ribosomal RNA", at positions 526 to 2310 of the family's 2925-position model. The record is from RNAcentral.
CCUGCGAGGGGAGUGAAAUAGAACCUGAAACCGUAUGCUUACAAGCAGUCGGAGGACUAUGUUUCUGGCUUCGGCUAGAUUCACUGUCUGACGGCGUGCCUCUUGCUUAAUGAGCCGGCUAGUUAUUCUCCCAGGCGAGGUUAAGCGCAAGCGAGCCGUAGCGAAAGCGAGUCCGAAUAGGGCGCUAGUCUGUGGGAAUAGACGCGAAGCGGGAUGAUCUACCCUUGGCCAGGCUGAAGGUCGCUUAACCGCGACUGGAGGGCCGAACGGGUGUGAGUUGAAAAUCGCUCCGAUGAGCUGAGGGUAGGGGUGAAAGGCUAAUCAAAUUCCGUAAUUGCUCGUUCUCCCCGAAAUGCCUUUAGGGGCAGCCUCGUGUGGUCUGCCACGGUGGUAGAGCACUGAAUGGACUAGGGAGCAAUCAAGCUUACCGACUCCAAUCAAACUGCGAAUGCCGUGGACAGUAACACGGGAGUGAGACUACGAGGGAUAAGCUUCGUGGUCGAGAGGGAAAGAACCCAGAUCGCCAGCUAAGGUCCCCAACUGUAGACUAAGUGGGAAAGGAAGUGUGAUCGCUAAGACAGCUAGGAGGUUGGCUUAGAAGCAGCCAUCCUUUAAAGAAAGCGUAACAGCUCACUAGUCAAGCGAUCAUGCACCGACAAUCCAACGGGGCUCAAGUCUACGACCGAAGCUGCGAAAUGUAUGUGAACUACGGUUUACAUACUUUGGUAGGGGAGCAUUGUGUGGAGUCUGAAGGUAGACCGAGAGGACUACUCAACGUCACGCAAGAGACCCUGCCGGCAUAAGUAGCGAUAAACACGAUGAGAACUCGUGUCGCCGAAAGUCUAAGGUUUCCUGAGGAAGGUUAAUCCGCUCAGGGUUAGGCGGGUCCUAAGGUGAGGCCGAAAGGCGUAGCUGAUGGACAACAGGUUAAUAUUCCUGUCCCGCCGAAUGAACGUUAUCACGAUGGGGUGACGCAGAAGGAUAGGGGAUUCUGGUGAUGGAUGUCCAGAUGGCCCUGCGUAAGCCGGAUCUCGUAGGAAAAUCCGCGAGGUCAUUCAACGGUGAGGCAGGUCCCGAGGUCACACGACCGCAAAGUCCCUGAUUUCACGCUGCCUGGAAAAACCUCUAAGGAGUACAUUCGGUGCCCGUACCACAAACCGACACAGGUAGACGAGGUGAAUAUCCACAGGCGCUCGAGAGAACACUCGCUCAGGAACUAGGCACAUUAGCCCCGUAACUUCGGGAGAAGGGGCGCCGCGCUAGGGUUUAUAGCCCGAAGCGGCCGCAGUGAAAUGCGCUCUGCGACUGUUUAACAAAAACACAGCUCUCUGCCAAGUCGAAUACGACGUAUAGGGGGUGACACCUGCCCGGUGCCGGAAGGUUAAAGCAAGGGCUCAGCUCCCGCAAGGGAACGAAGGCCUGAACUGAAGCCCCGGUGAACGGCGGCCGUAACUAUAACGGUCCUAAGGUAGCGAAAUUCCUUGUCGGGUAAGUUCCGACCUGCACGAAUGGUGUAACGAUAGAGCGACUGUCUUGGCGAGUGACUCGGCGAAUUUGUGGUUCCGGUGAAGACGCCGGAUGCCCGCAUCUAGACGGAAAGACCCCGUGCACCUUUACUGCACUCUGGUCAUGAGUAACGGUAUGGUCUGCGUAGCAUAGGUGGGAGCCUUUGAUUCUCAGGUCUCGGCUUGAGAGGAGGCAACAGUGAAAUACCACCCUGAUCGUUCUGUCGCUCUAACUUACGGCCCGCGACGGGCCGGAGGACAUGGCCAGACGGGUAGUUUGACUGGGGCGGUCGCCUCCCAAAAUGUAACGGAGGCGCC